GCCCCCGUAGGCUAACGGAUAGACCACGACGCUUCGGACGUCGUUGUGCGGGUUCGAUUCCUGCCGGGGGCA
Molecule: transfer RNA, 72 nt
Filed under: Candidatus Daviesbacteria bacterium RIFCSPHIGHO2_01_FULL_44_29
Lineage: Bacteria; Candidatus Daviesiibacteriota
Also listed under: 3 other names
Description: tRNA-Arg
Rfam family: tRNA
About the family: Transfer RNA (tRNA) molecules are approximately 80 nucleotides in length. Their secondary structure includes four short double-helical elements and three loops (D, anti-codon, and T loops). Further hydrogen bonds mediate the characteristic L-shaped molecular structure. tRNAs have two regions of fundamental functional importance: the anti-codon, which is responsible for specific mRNA codon recognition, and the 3' end, to which the tRNAs corresponding amino acid is attached (by aminoacyl-tRNA synthetases). tRNAs cope with the degeneracy of the genetic code in two manners: having more than one tRNA (with a specific anti-codon) for a particular amino acid; and 'wobble' base-pairing, i.e. permitting non-standard base-pairing at the 3rd anti-codon position.
Source: RNAcentral